This 460-nucleotide ribosomal RNA is filed under the name uncultured bacterium. RNAcentral's name for it is "partial 16S ribosomal RNA". It matches the Rfam family "Bacterial small subunit ribosomal RNA", at positions 338 to 795 of the family's 1533-position model. The record is from RNAcentral.
CCUACGGGAGGCAGCAGUGAGGAAUAUUGGUCAAUGGGCGCAAGCCUGAACCAGCCAAGUCGCGUGAGGGAUGACGGUCCUAUGGAUUGUAAACCUCUUUUGUCGGGGAGCAAGUCCCGCCACGCGUGGCGGGAAGGAGAGUACCCGAAGAAAAAGCAUCGGCUAACUCCGUGCCAGCAGCCGCGGUAAUACGGAGGAUGCGAGCGUUAUCCGGAUUUAUUGGGUUUAAAGGGUGCGUAGGCGGAAGGUUAAGUCAGCGGUAAAAUGUCGGUGCUCAACACCGGCCUGCCGUUGAAACUGGUCUUCUUGAGUGAGCGAGAAGUAUGCGGAAUGCGUGGUGUAGCGGUGAAAUGCAUAGAUAUCACGCAGAACUCCGAUUGCGAAGGCAGCAUACCGGCGCUCAACUGACGCUGAGGCACGAAAGCGUGGGGAUCGAACAGGAUUAGAUACCCGAGUAGUC